GACGAACGCUGGCGGCGUGCCUAAUACAUGCAAGUAGAACGCACAGUUUAUACCGUAGCUUGCUACACCAUAGACUGUGAGUUGCGAACGGGUGAGUAACGCGUAGGUAACCUGCCUGGUAGCGGGGGAUAACUAUUGGAAACGUUAGCUAAUACCGCAUAAUAUUAAUUAUUGCAUGAUAAUUAAUUGAAAGGUGCAAUUGCACCACUACCAGAUGGACCUGCGUUGUAUUAGCUAGUAGGUGAGGUAACGGCUCACCUAGGCGACGAUACAUAGCCGACCUGAGAGGGUGAUCGGCCACACUGGGACUGAGACACGGCCCAGACUCCUACGGGAGGCAGCAGUAGGGAAUCUUCGGCAAUGGACGAAAGUCUGACCGAGCAACGCCGCGUGAGUGAAGAAGGUUUUCGGAUCGUAAAGCUCUGUUGUAAGAGAAGAACGGGUGUGAGAGUGGAAAGUUCACACUGUGACGGUAUCUUACCAGAAAGGGACGGCUAACUACGUG
This 505-nucleotide ribosomal RNA is filed under the name uncultured bacterium. RNAcentral describes it as "partial 16S ribosomal RNA". It matches the Rfam family "Bacterial small subunit ribosomal RNA", at positions 28 to 507 of the family's 1533-position model. The record is from RNAcentral.